CCGCCAUUCCCUAACAACACACAACAUUCCAGGAAUGUACUACCAAAGUUCUAUCAAUAUUUGAAUGUCCUGGACAUUUAGGGAACAUUCGGUGAUAAGACAUUCUGUGAACAUACUACCAAUGUUGCUAAAUGUUCAUUUUCAAAUUCACGGCGCAUGUAUUUGUGCAUGGUGCUUAGAGAGGGCAUCACGUGACUAAAAACGACCAAUGACCUCACUUCGGACUUCGGCGCUUCGGCCAUCUUGGCAUGCAUCUUGGCCUUGGCCGUUGGCCACCUUGCCGUGAUCGUUGUUUGUUUUUAUUUGUGCUUUUUAAGAAUAUUUUUUUAAUUCGGAUACUUUUAUAACAGUGCAUAAAAUCAGUUGGAGUAGCAGAAGCAAUGUAGAUAAAAAAUCUGCAGGAAUAACGUUUCAAAGCUUUCCAGAAGAUCCUGCGAAGAAGGCAUGAAGUAUUGAUCAGAUUUGUUAAUAGAGCAGUAUGUUCAAAACAUUUUUUAGAAAAAGAUAUUGACAGAACUUCACUUUCAACUGUUCGUUUGAGAGACCGUGCUGUUCCAAUAGCUUAUAUCACAUAGAAUCAGCUGAGAUAAGUGGUCUACAAAAAACCAGGAAGGAAAUGGAAUAUGUGGCUAUGACAGGCAAAAGAAAGGUUUACAAAGCAAAUGUGACACAUUUUUUUAUAGGAAUAUCAGUAAAUUACAUUAAAAGAUUUUUUACAAUAAAAAUGUUUAUAUUUAUCAAGGAUGUAUUAUUUGGUAUGGCCACAUAUCGUCAGUGAUGUGACAAUACCUUCUAUCUGUUUUUUCAUAAGAUUUGUAAGAUAGACUAAAAACUUGUUUGGGCCACCUCCUGUUUUCAUAUAUUUUUUGACUUGUUUUGCAGUAAAUUUAACGGGUCUAGGACGUUUCAUCGCCGCCGUUUCGAUGCCGCCAGUUCGAUGUCGAUGCCGGCCGAUUCAUCGCCAGUCAAUUAAUCGCUAUCUGAUAUAUUUCCGAAUUUUCGACAGUUACAAUUAUUAGUUAUUUUUAGUAUUAAUAAGGAAUUCUAGGAAAUGCGAGAUAUGACGGCGAUGAAAUGGACUGGCGAUGAACCGGCGGCAUCGAAACGGCCGGCGAUGAACCGGCGGCAUCGAAACGUCCCAU
Diabrotica virgifera virgifera (western corn rootworm) is the source of this 1142-nucleotide long non-coding RNA. RefSeq lists it as uncharacterized. The transcript has 3 exons. Lineage: Eukaryota; Metazoa; Arthropoda; Insecta; Coleoptera; Chrysomelidae. The record is from RefSeq and is a predicted model, not a curated record.